Molecule: ribosomal RNA, 242 nt
Filed under: Pseudo-nitzschia fraudulenta
Lineage: Eukaryota; Bacillariophyta; Bacillariophyceae; Bacillariales; Bacillariaceae
Description: partial Bacterial large subunit ribosomal RNA
Rfam family: Bacterial large subunit ribosomal RNA
Source: RNAcentral
AGAACUGAAACAUCUAAGUACCCAGAGGAAGAGAAAACAAUAGUGAUUUCCGGAGUAGCGGCGAGCGAAAUGGAAAUAGCCCAAACCGAAGUUGUUUCGGCAGCUUCGGGGUUGUAGGACUACAAUGUGGACUUAUAGAUUAUAGCGGAAUUAAGUUGGAAAGCUUAACUGUAGAGGGUGAUAGUCCCGUACGCGAAAUAGUCUAUAUACCUAGUAGUAUCCUGAGUAGGGCGGGACAUGUG